UACGUAGGGUGCGAGCGUUAGUCGGAAUUACUGGGCGUAAAGCGUGCGCAGGCGGCUUCGCAAGUCAGGCGUGAAAUCCCCGGGCUUAACCUGGGAAUUGCGCUUGAAACUACGGUGCUGGAGUGCGGCAGAGGAAGGUGGAAUUCCACGUGUAGCGGUGAAAUGCGUAGAGAUGUGGAGGAACACCAAUGGCGAAGGCAGCCUUCUGGGUCGACACUGACGCUCAUGCACGAAAGCGUGGGGAGCAAACAGG
Molecule: ribosomal RNA, 253 nt
Filed under: uncultured bacterium
Lineage: Bacteria
Description: partial 16S ribosomal RNA
Rfam family: Bacterial small subunit ribosomal RNA
Source: RNAcentral